CCCAUGCGCGGCGGCCAUUUUUUUGUAGUCCCAAGCAUUUUUGCCUCUAGGGUCUAGGGACGGCCAUUUUGCCGUAGCUCUUUUUUACAUUCUAAACACUAUACCCGAAAGUGGUGCAGUGUAGCGGCGGUCGAGGACAGUAAUGGCGCCGGAGUGCAUACUGGCGUUCAGCGGGCACCCACGUGGCAUCCACGGACACAUCGUCAUUAUCAACACCUUCACCGCUAUCUGACACCUCAAGAAAGGAAGCAGCAUCGGCUACAACAUCAUCAUCACACCAUCAGUGCAUGCAGAGGACUAUGGCGGAUUCGGUGAACUACGGUGAUUAACCAGAUUGUUUCUCUUUUAAUAAAAUGGCUAACGAGGGCUGUGGGGGAGAGUUUUUUUUAUAAAAUUAAUUUUUUUAAAAUAAAUUUUCAGGCUUAGUAGUGGAAGCCGUCUUAUAGACAGAAUCCAUUUCUAAGUGGGGUUUAGCAUUAGCCCCAAAAACAGCUAGCGCUAACCCCCAAAUAUAACCCCAGUAUUCACCACCACAGAGGUACCAGAAAGAGCCGGUACCAACAGGCCCAGAGCAUCAAAAAUGAUGCUCCUGGGCCUAGAUGGUAAGAGGUUGGCAUUAUAUGGACUGGGGAGGGUCAGUAA
Molecule: long non-coding RNA, 642 nt
Organism: Hyla sarda
Lineage: Eukaryota; Metazoa; Chordata; Amphibia; Anura; Hylidae
Exons: 3
Source: RefSeq, a predicted model, not a curated record